Molecule: ribosomal RNA, 497 nt
Filed under: uncultured bacterium
Lineage: Bacteria
Description: partial 16S ribosomal RNA
Rfam family: Bacterial small subunit ribosomal RNA
Source: RNAcentral
GACGAACGCUGGCGGCGUGCCUAAUACAUGCAAGUUGAGCGCUGAAGGCUGGUACUUGUACCAACUGGAUGAGCAGCGCACGGGUGAGUAACGCGUGGGGAAUCUGCCUUUGAGCGGGGGACAACAUUUGGAAACGAAUGCUAAUACCGCAUAAAAACUUUAAACACAAGUUUUAAGUUUGAAAGAUGCAAUUGCAUCACUCAAAGAUGAUCCCGCGUUGUAUUAGCUAGUUGGUGAGGUAAAGGCUCACCAAGGCGAGGAUACAGAGCCGACCUGAGCGGGUGGUUAGCCAGAUUGGGAGUGAGACACGGCCCAAACGCCUACGGGUGGCAGCAGUAGGGAAACUUCGGCAAUGGGCGAAAGUCUGACCGAGAAACGCCGCGGGAUGGAAGAAGGUUGUCGGAUCGUAAAACUCUGUUUGUAGGGAAGAACGUGGGUGAGAGUGGAAAGCUCAGCAAGUGACGGUAACUACUCAGAAAGGGACGGCUAACUACGUG